CCUACGGGGGGCAGCAGUGGGGAAUAUUGGACAAUGGGCGCAAGCCUGAUCCAGCCAUGCCGCGUGAGUGAAGAAGGCCCUAGGGUUGUAAAGCUCUUUCAGCGGGGACGCGGUACCCGCAGAAGAAGCCCCGGCUAACUUCGUGCCAGCAGCCGCGGUAAUACGAAGGGGGCUAGCGUUGUUCGGAAUUACUGGGCGUAAAGGGCGCGUAGGCGGGUUUCCGAGUCGGGGGUGAAAUUCCAGGGCUCAACCCUGGGACGGCCUUCGAUACUGGGAGCCUGGAGAUCGGGAGAGGUGAGUGGAAUUCCGAGUGUAGAGGUGAAAUUCGUAGAUAUUCGGAGGAACACCAGAAGCGAAGGCGGCUCACUGGCCGAACUGACGCUGAGGCGCGAAAGCGUGGGGAGCAAACAGGAUUAGAUACCCUUGUAGUC
RNAcentral lists this ribosomal RNA (431 nucleotides) under uncultured bacterium. RNAcentral's name for it is "partial 16S ribosomal RNA". It matches the Rfam family "Bacterial small subunit ribosomal RNA", at positions 338 to 795 of the family's 1533-position model. The record is from RNAcentral.